This 559-nucleotide ribosomal RNA is filed under the name uncultured archaeon. RNAcentral describes it as "bacterial SSU rRNA". It matches the Rfam family "Archaeal small subunit ribosomal RNA", at positions 70 to 612 of the family's 1478-position model. The record is from RNAcentral.
GUGAAGGCGCGGCAAACGGCUCAGUAACACGUGGCUAACCUACCCUUGGGACGGAGACACUCCCGGGAAACUGGGGCUAAUCCCCGAUAGGUAAGGACCCCUGGAAUGGACCCUUGCUGAAAAGACGUUGAGUCCAUGCUAUUCAGCGUCGCCUAAGGAUGGGGCCGCGGCCGAUCAGGUUGUUGGCGAGGCAAUGGCUCACCAAGCCUAUAACCGGUACGGGCCGUGAGAGCGGAAGCCCGGAGAUGGGAACUGAGACAAGGUCCCAGGCCCUACGGGGCGCAGCAGUUGCGAAAACUCCGCAAUGCGCGAAAGCGUGACGGGGCUACCCCGAGUGCCGCCCGUUGAGGGCGGCUUUUCCACGGUGUAAGGAGCCGUGGGAAUAAGGAGAGGGCAAGCCUGGUGUCAGCCGCCGCGGUAAUACCAGCUCUCCGAGUGGUGAGGACAAUUAUUGGGCUUAAAGCGUUCGUAGCCGGCUUAACAAGUCUUCCGUUAAAUCCAACGAUUUAAUCGUUGGUCUGCGGGAGAUACUGUUGGGCUAGGAGGCGGGAGAAGCCGA